GUAGACAUAGUUUAACUAAAAUUCUAGAUUGUGAUUCUAGCAAUAGGGGUUAAACCCCCCUUGUCCACC
This 69-nucleotide transfer RNA is filed under the name Pegasus volitans (longtail seamoth). Its description in RNAcentral is "tRNA-His". It matches the Rfam family "tRNA". From Rfam's summary of the family: Transfer RNA (tRNA) molecules are approximately 80 nucleotides in length. Their secondary structure includes four short double-helical elements and three loops (D, anti-codon, and T loops). Further hydrogen bonds mediate the characteristic L-shaped molecular structure. tRNAs have two regions of fundamental functional importance: the anti-codon, which is responsible for specific mRNA codon recognition, and the 3' end, to which the tRNAs corresponding amino acid is attached (by aminoacyl-tRNA synthetases). tRNAs cope with the degeneracy of the genetic code in two manners: having more than one tRNA (with a specific anti-codon) for a particular amino acid; and 'wobble' base-pairing, i.e. permitting non-standard base-pairing at the 3rd anti-codon position. Lineage: Eukaryota; Metazoa; Chordata; Actinopteri; Syngnathiformes; Pegasidae. The record is from RNAcentral.